RNAcentral lists this non-coding RNA (31 nucleotides) under Rattus norvegicus (Norway rat). The record is from RNAcentral. Lineage: Eukaryota; Metazoa; Chordata; Mammalia; Rodentia; Muridae.
UAUUUGCACAAAUAUUUUUGCCCCUUCUUCC